CCCUUAGAUGUUCUGGGCCGCACGCGCGCUACACUGACGGAUUCAACGAGCUUACAACCUUGGCCGAAAGGUCUGGGUAAUCUCCAAAAUCUGUCGUGAUGGGGAUAGAUUAUUGCAAUUAUUAAUCUUCAACGAGGAAUGCCUAGUAAGCGCAAGUCAUCAGCUUGCGUUGAUUACGUCCCUGCCCUUUGUACACACCGCCCGUCGCUCCUACCGAUUGAAUGGUCCGGUGAAGCGUUUGGACUAUGGUUUUCUGAUGGUCCGCCGUUGGAUUACCGUGGGAAGUUCGUUAAACCUUAUCAUUUAGAGGAAGGAGAAGUCGUAACA
This 327-nucleotide ribosomal RNA is filed under the name uncultured eukaryote. Its description in RNAcentral is "partial 18S ribosomal RNA". It matches the Rfam family "Eukaryotic small subunit ribosomal RNA", at positions 1470 to 1796 of the family's 1831-position model. The record is from RNAcentral.